CUACGGAUGGUGCGAGCGUUGUUCGGAAUUACUGGGCGUAAAGGGCGCGUAGGCGGCGAUGUAAGUCAAAUGUGAAAGUCCUCGGCUUAACCGGGGAAGUGCAUCUGAAACUGCAUUGCUUGAGUAUGGGAGAGGAAAGUGGAAUUCCCGGUGUAGAGGUGAAAUUCGUAGAGAUCGGGAGGAAUACCGGUGGCGAAGGCGACUUUCUGGACCAAUACUGACGCUGAGGCGCGAAAGCGUGGGGAGCAAACAGGAUUAGAUACCCUAGUAGUCC
Molecule: ribosomal RNA, 274 nt
Filed under: uncultured bacterium
Lineage: Bacteria
Description: partial 16S ribosomal RNA
Rfam family: Bacterial small subunit ribosomal RNA
Source: RNAcentral